UGGUCUUAACAUGCACUGAAGCUUAACUCUUUUCAAUUUACUACGGGUACAGAGAAAGUAGAGACAGUAGCGAACGAGUGAGGAACACGUAGUAACCUGCCCACUGGAGGGGGAGAACCACUGGAAAGGGUGGCUAAUACCGCAUAAGCCCGAAAGGGGAAAGCAAUUUAUUGUGCCGGUGGAGGGGACUGCGGGCCAUCAGGAAGAUGGUGAGGUAAAAGCUCACCAAACCCGACGAACGGCUAUCUGACGUGAGAGCGUGAUCAGACACGAAGACACUGAGAAACGGGUCCUACUCCUACGGGAGGCAGCAGUGGGGAAUAUUGGACAAUGGGGGAAACCCUGAUCCAGCGACGCCCGCGGUGAACGAAGAAGUCGUUCGGGAUGUCCAGUUCUGUGAAAUGGGAAGAAGACAGUGACGGUCCCUAUCGAAUAAGCCCCGGCUAACUACGUGCCAGCAGCCGCGGUAAGACGUAGGGGGCAAGCGUUACCCGGAAUCACUGGGCGUAAAGGGAGCGUAGGCGGUUAUGCAGGUCAUACGUUAAAGGAUCCGGCUCAACCGGAGAGAUGCAUAUGAAACCGUAUAACUUGAGGAUAUCAGAGGAAAAGGGAAUUACCAUUGUAGGGGUGAAAUCCGUAGAGAGUGGUAAGAAUGCCGGUGGCGAAGGCGCUUUUCCGGGGUAUACCUGACGCUGAGGCUCGAAAGCCAGGGGAGCGAACCGGAUUAGAUACCCGGGUAGUCCUGGCCGUAAACGAUGUUCACUAGGUGUAGGAUGCCGACAGGCAAACUGUGCUGAAGCUAACGCGAUAAGUGAACCGCCUGGGGAGUACGUCCGCAAGGAUGAAACUCAAAGGAAUUGACGGGGGCCCGCACAAGCGGUGGAGCGUGUGGUUUAAUUCGAAGCUAAGCGAAGACCUCACCAGUCUUGACAUAUAGU
This 938-nucleotide ribosomal RNA is filed under the name uncultured bacterium. Its description in RNAcentral is "bacterial SSU rRNA". It matches the Rfam family "Bacterial small subunit ribosomal RNA", at positions 45 to 992 of the family's 1533-position model. The record is from RNAcentral.